Molecule: ribosomal RNA, 525 nt
Filed under: uncultured bacterium
Lineage: Bacteria
Description: bacterial SSU rRNA
Rfam family: Bacterial small subunit ribosomal RNA
Source: RNAcentral
GGCUCAGGACGAACGCUGGCGGCGUGCCUAAUACAUGCAAGUCGAACGGUCUUUCUAUGGAAGCUUGCUUCCACUGAGAAGAUAGUGGCGAACGGGUGAGUAACACGUGGGUAACCUGCCCAUAAGAGGGGGAUAACAUCCGGAAACGGGUGCUAAUACCGCAUAGUUUUCUUGAUCGCAUGAUCGGGAAAGGAAAGACGGCCUUUGUGCUGUCGCUUAUGGAUGGACCCGCGGCGUAUUAGUUAGUUGGUGAGGUAAUGGCUCACCAAGACGAUGAUACGUAGCCGACCUGAGAGGGUGAUCGGCCACAUUGGGACUGAGACACGGCCCAAACUCCUACGGGAGGCAGCAGUAGGGAAUCUUCCGCAAUGGACGAAAGUCUGACGGAGCAACGCCGCGUGAGUGAAGAAAAGGUUUUCGGAUCGUAAAACUCUGUUGUCAGAGAAGAACAAGUUGGAGAGUAACUGCUCCAGCCUUGACGGUAUCUGACCAGAAAGCCACGGCUAACUACGUGCCAGCAGCGGC